GAUGAACGCUAGCGGUAGGCUUAAUACAUGCAAGUCGAGGGGCAGCACGGGUAGCAAUACCUGGUGGCGACCGGCAAACGGGUGCGGAACACGUACGCAACCUUCCCAAAACUGGUGAAUAGCCCUCCGAAAGGAGGAUUAAUACACCGUACCAUAAUGGAGUGGCAUCACUUUAUUAUUAUAGGCAGCAAUGUCGGUUUUGGAUGGGCGUGCGCCUGAUUAGGUAGUUGGCGGGGUAACGGCCCACCAAGCCUCCGAUCAGUAACUGGUGUGAGAGCACGACCAGUCACACGGGCACUGAGACACGGGCCCGACUCCUACGGGAGGCAGCAGUAAGGAAUAUUGGUCAAUGGACGAAAGUCUGAACCAGCCAUGCCGCGUGCAGGAUGAAGGCCCUCUGGGUUGUAAACUGCUUUUAUCUGGGACGAAAAAAGGGGAUUCAUCCUCACUUGACGGUACCAGAGGAAUAAGCACCGGCUAACUCCGUGCCAGCAGCCGCGGUAAUACGGAGGGUGCAAGCGUUAUCCGGAUUUACUGGGUUUAAAGGGUGCGUACGUGGGUAAGUAAGUCAGUGGUGACAUCUUCGAGCUUAACUUGGAAACUGGCAUUGA
RNAcentral lists this ribosomal RNA (611 nucleotides) under uncultured bacterium. RNAcentral describes it as "bacterial SSU rRNA". It matches the Rfam family "Bacterial small subunit ribosomal RNA", at positions 28 to 630 of the family's 1533-position model. The record is from RNAcentral.